CCAAUAGCGUAUAUUAAAGUUGCUGCAGUUAAAAAGCUCGUAGUUGAAUUUCGGGAUCAGUUCGCUGGUCGUGCCUCUGGUAUGUACUGGUGUUACUGGUUCCUCCCUUCUGACGAACUGUCAUGUCAUUUAUUUGGUGUGGCAGGGAAUCAGGACUGUUACUUUGAAAAAAUUAGAGUGUUUAAAGCAGGCUCGCGCUUGAAUACAUUAGCAUGGAAUAAUGAAAUAGGACGUUCGAUCCUAUUUUGUUGGUUUCUAGGAUUGACGUAAUGAUUGAUAGGGAUAGUUGGGGGCAUUAGUAUUCAAUUGUCAGAGGUGAAAUUCUUGGAUUUAUUGAAGACUAACUACUGCGAAAGCAUUUGCCAAGGAUGUUUUCAUUAAUCAAGAACGAAAGUUAGGGGAUCGAAGACGAUCAGAUACCGUCGUAGUCUUAACCAUAAACUAUGCCGACUAGGGAUCGGAUGAUGUUAUUUUUAAUGACUCAUUCGGCGCCUUACG
Molecule: ribosomal RNA, 498 nt
Filed under: uncultured Glomeromycotina
Lineage: Eukaryota; Fungi; Glomeromycota
Description: partial small subunit ribosomal RNA
Rfam family: Eukaryotic small subunit ribosomal RNA
Source: RNAcentral